This 72-nucleotide transfer RNA is filed under the name Loxodonta africana (African savanna elephant). It matches the Rfam family "tRNA". From Rfam's summary of the family: Transfer RNA (tRNA) molecules are approximately 80 nucleotides in length. Their secondary structure includes four short double-helical elements and three loops (D, anti-codon, and T loops). Further hydrogen bonds mediate the characteristic L-shaped molecular structure. tRNAs have two regions of fundamental functional importance: the anti-codon, which is responsible for specific mRNA codon recognition, and the 3' end, to which the tRNAs corresponding amino acid is attached (by aminoacyl-tRNA synthetases). tRNAs cope with the degeneracy of the genetic code in two manners: having more than one tRNA (with a specific anti-codon) for a particular amino acid; and 'wobble' base-pairing, i.e. permitting non-standard base-pairing at the 3rd anti-codon position. The record is from Rfam by way of RNAcentral. Lineage: Eukaryota; Metazoa; Chordata; Mammalia; Proboscidea; Elephantidae.
CUUUUGGUAGCUCAAAUGGUUAAGUGCUUGACUACUAGUCAAAAGGUUGGUGGUUUGAACCCACCCAGAAGC